GCGCAACCCUGAUCCAGCCAUGCCGCGUGAGUGAAGAAGGCCUUAGGGUUGUAAAGCUCUUUCAGCGGGGAAGAUAAUGACGGUACCCGCAGAAGAAGCCCCGGCUAACUCCGUGCCAGCAGCCGCGGUAAUACGGAGGGGGCUAGCGUUGUUCGGAAUUACUGGGCGUAAAGCGCGCGUAGGCGGAUAGUCAAGUCAGGGGUGAAAGCCCGGGGCUCAACCCAGGAACUGCCUUCAAAACUGGCUGUCUUGAGUCCGAAAGAGGUGAGUGGAAUUCCCAGUGUAGAGGUGAAAUUCGUAGAUAUUGGGAAGAACACCAGUGGCGAAGGCGGCUCACUGGCCCGGUACUGACGCUGAGGCGCGAAAGCGUGGGGAGCAAACAGGAUUAGAUACCCUGGUAGUCCACGCCGUAAACGAUGAGUGCUAGCCGUCGGGCAGCUUGCUUUUCGGUGGCGCAGCUAACGCAUUAAGCACUCCGCCUGGGGAGUACGGUCGCAAGAUUAAAACUCAAANAUUUGGAAC
This 522-nucleotide ribosomal RNA is filed under the name uncultured Alphaproteobacteria bacterium. Its description in RNAcentral is "bacterial SSU rRNA". It matches the Rfam family "Bacterial small subunit ribosomal RNA", at positions 375 to 915 of the family's 1533-position model. The record is from RNAcentral. Lineage: Bacteria; Pseudomonadati; Pseudomonadota; Alphaproteobacteria.